CGAACCUGCAGUUAAACAAUUAAUUACAGAAAAAAUGCCGGAUGUAGCAAAUGUUAUACAAAUUAAAACUCCUAUGCAAUUUAAUAUACAUGGUCACCUUUUGUCAUUCAAUAACAUCCAUGGUUAGUCAACACAGAUUUUAGCUUCUCUUUUUUUGAUUGCACAAGUAUAGGGCUUGGUUAGUUUUCUGUAUCAUCAUUGGUUGUUUCUGUAUAAUGCUAUGUGUGGCGUAGAGGUAUAAAAGUUGCUGAUCUGUAGUUCAGCUUCAACUUGAGGAGGAGGAACUGUUCAACUGAAAAGUUACAACCUCCACGGCUGCAUUCUUACACAUUUGUUGAAAAGAGAACGUGUAAAAGGUGUGCAUUCUGGUACCCUGCAGUCAAAAUGAAGAACCCUGUUCUCCUCUCUGCAGCCCUGCUGCUGCUGUUUUUUGUUGGGACAUCAGCUCAGGGUAACACUAACUUCAGAGUGCAGGUGAAUGUGCCACCCAGUGACAUUAAGACCUACAACACUUCUACUGCUUAUAGAGGAAGCCUCUUCGGUGGACUGACGAGACUGAAAUACUCAAACCAAGGCUUCAACUUUCAGUACAUACCAUAUGACGACUAUGGACCAUUCCUUCAGAGUGUAAAUGGUUUGGCAGGAAAUUCAUCAUACUACUGGCAACUGCUGAGUGGUAAAACCCCACUUAAUGUUGGUAUGGGAUGUUACCUUCCAACAGCAAAUGAAGUCGUCACCCUGAAAUACACGAAAAUUUAAGACCAUCUAAAGUCUUAUUGUUACUUAUGGUCAACCAAUACACUUUGAUCUUUGGCAAGUUGAGGUGAAUAAUUGACUUGUUGUGUCAUUUUUUUGCUUGGGAGUCUUUUAAUCAUAAAUCAGUAGCCUAUCACUGUCUUAGAUUCUUUUACUGGGUUUCUGUCAGACUUUAUGAAUUAAGAUUACAGCGUUAAUCUACAAUUCUGCCACAGUGUAGUAAUCUGAAGUAAGAGAAAACUCCAUCAGUCACAAGAGCAAUCAGUAAAACAUAUACAACACUUCCGUAUUAGUCAACUGAAGUUCUUGAAUUGUUUUUUAAUUUACUGCCUUUAUGGCAACUUUUAUUGUGUUUGAGAGUAAUUAAUAGUUUCUCAACUUGCCCCUGAGUGUCAUAAUUUUACAUUCAAAUUUCAUUUUUUGAGAGCUACAAGUGCUCUCAGUUUUACUCUAAAAAGAUGGUGUGGUUAUACAGUAGACUGCCCAGAGACUGCUGGCCAGCAAAAACAGCAAGGUGGGUCAGCUGCUGACUCCAUGUCAAAAUAGCUUCUUUAUCCUGCAAAUCAAGUUAUCAACAGCUUGCGAGUCAAAAGGCUUCUGAGAUUGACUGGGCUGCUGACCUCCACCUGGACACCAGCAGGUCUCAAGAUCAGCUGUGAAAUUAAAGCUAUUUUUAUACUUUUGGGGCUCCUAGAGGGGUGUGAGAGGGGCAAAAUAAGAUCAAAUUCAUUGUUGAAUCAUUUUUGUAUUAGUGCAUUUUUAUUGUUUAUUAAAAUGUUACUGAUUAUUAGUGUUAUCUUUUGCAGGCAUUAAAUAAAGCAUGUAACUUGUAGUCAAAGUAAAAUGUUUCUAGCC
Long non-coding RNA from Oreochromis aureus, 1611 nucleotides. NCBI's taxonomy places the organism in Eukaryota, Metazoa, Chordata, Actinopteri, Cichliformes, Cichlidae. The record is from Ensembl.